GGAAGAGUAGUUUAACAAAAAUAUUAAGAUUGCAAAUCUUUUGAUGGGGCAGCCCUUCUUCCU
This 63-nucleotide transfer RNA is filed under the name Daphnia galeata. RNAcentral's name for it is "tRNA-Cys". Lineage: Eukaryota; Metazoa; Arthropoda; Branchiopoda; Diplostraca; Daphniidae. The record is from RNAcentral.